CUCCCCGGGGUGAUGCGGCGGGGAUGCCCCCCCCCGAUCGGUGCUCGGGGUCCCUCCCGCCCUGCCGGCCAGUCCCUACGGAGCACCCCGCUGCCCCCAACCCCCGCCAGCCUUCGCACAUGGGGCCGGUGACAGGCAGCAGCCGGACACACAGACGCACACACGGACAGACACACAGACACAGCCCGACCUCUCCAUCAACCCCGGCGCUCCGCCGUGCUCGCCACCUGGGCCUUUUAAGUCUUCCCAAGCAGCAGAGUGGCAAUGGACUGGAUUGACCAAAAAAGAUGCACUGGGACCUGGAGCUCUGAGGAAGAAACAGUACUUGUGCUACUCCAGCCCAAGUGGGAGUUACGGGAGAAGCAACUUGGCUGUCACCCCGCAGGAGUUGCUUGUCAUAGCUGAGAUUGUAAAGGUCAUGCUUGUCCUGUCCCUCAAUGUGAACAUCCUGCCUGCCUGGGACACAGCGAGGUGACACGGUGAGGUAAUGCUCACAGAGUUGCCCUGGUCACCAGCGCUGCUCCGGGGCAAAAUCCACCCCAUGUGCCUCCAUCGCAGAGCUGUCUUUGCAGAAUACCAGGUUUGGGCUGUGCAGUCCCAGCACAGCCAAUAUAUUCCCAUUUGAUAAAUACUUGGAUAGGCUUUUUUUUUUUCCCUAAGGACCCAGAGCUCCCCAGGGAAUGUGAGAACCAUGUUUCCCAUACUGAUCUCUGCCUCAGCUAUCAGGUGUGCACAAGCCUGAGUGUCUCCCUGGCUCCUGUGACUGCUUACAUGCUCAGUCAAGAGUCAGUAAAGAUUGUCUCUCCUCUACUCAAGCGUGAAGAUAAAACAACAGUGUGAAGUUCUGGAGGGCGGCUCUCCACAGGUUGUAGAGUAAAGUUUAAAGGGGAUUUUGCAGUACCAGGAACAACACAACCCUUUAUCUCAAACUGGCAGAGGUAUAGAGCUCAGUCCCUGCAUUUACAAAUGGCUGUGUCAAGAAGGACCCUGCCAGGGCUGCAGCUGUGAGAAAACCCAACAUAUGCUGUCGGACCUUAUUAGACGCUGGAGAAGCCACAUGGAUCCGACUUUUGAUGGAUGCCGAAAGCGUGGGAAAAGCUUCAGUCAGAGUUUGUGCCCCUUCAAGCACCCAGGUCGCUCUCCCAGGAGAUUCUGGCCUGUUGAAAACUGGACUCUGCAAAUUCUGCAGCUCCCAGAGCUGUUUGUUUGCUUUUCAGUGCCAAGCUGGGGAGUGCGGGCAGGGAGAAGGAGCUCAGCAGAAAUCUGAGCCAAAAGGGCUAGUGCUGCUAUUUGAGGAUGGGCCAAGAGCAGCGCAGCCCCAAACCCCAUCUUUAGUAUCAUAGAGAAGUUUUUCUUCAAGGAAUCACGGCAAAUGAUCCACUCUGCUGCCAAGGGUACGAUUCUUCCAUUUGCUCUUUUGGCUGAAAUCAAGGCAGGCAGAGGAGAUCUGACAGCUGUGCCCUUUCCUUCUUCACAAGAUGGACAGUGGAAAACUUGGACCAAAUCCAGUCUGUUCCAACCUAUGUCUGCUGUGAUAGUUCAAAAGCAUCUCUGACUUUUUAAAAGGCAGAAGGAGUUGAAAGCCACCUUGGAGACACAGGCACAGUUUUACAGGUCUCUGUAAAAAACUCCACAGGCGGGUGGAACAGCUCCUGCUAUGGUGGAGAAUCAGUGGAAAGUCUCUGCUUUUGGGCUGCAGGGUGAAGGUGAUGGAGAUGAUUAGAGAAGAGUGUGUUUGAGGGGAAGGUUCGAGAAGUCAGGAUCAAGUGUCUGUAAUAAAAACACUUCUCACAAGAGGGGAAGGUAAAGAUAUUUCUAGUUGCAUAAUUUAGCCUGAGAAUUAUAUUCUCUGAUUUUUAUUCUACUUGCAUGAAAGCAUCUCUCCAUCACUUCCUCAUCUCUAAAUUGUUUGGUAGACAGUUCAUUAGAAAUCUGCUCUGUUGAAUAGUGAAGUAAUGAAUCUUUGUGCUUUCCAUUUCCUCCAUCUGAACUGGAAAGUGUUUUUCUCACACGAUCUCGGUCUUGAGCAGUAAUAACAAAACCACAACUUCUGCUGCAGUUCUUUAUUUGCAGGUUGGAUUCCUCUGUGGACACAUCUCAACAAAAGCGUACAUGACCUGCUGACUACAACACAGAAGAUAAAGAAAAUGGUGGUUAUGACUGUCUGAACAAACAUAAUUCUGAUAUUUCUCUUUCAGUGCAGCAAGGUGCAGGACUUACUGUCAGCAAAAACUGCUCAUGACUUAGAGGUUUGUCACUUAUAUACCAACCUGAGAACAACUUCUAUAUGCAGAACAACAAUUUUGUAUGUGGUUUUUGGCCUAACACCAUACAAUCCCUAUUUCUAACUCAUCAGGUGGUACUGAAAUGGGUACAGUUUUGAUUAGGGCCUGGUUUAUAUGAGUGCAGUUCCCAAGCAAACAUAGUCAAGUAGCAGGAUUUACAUUUACACCUCAAAUCAGUAAAUUCAAGCAACCAACCUGCCUGUUCCACUCUCUCCUCGACACUGCAAGCGCUGACGGUCCAUCUACUGCAGGUGAAGCUGUUUUUCAGGUUGGGAAAACCAUUUAUUGAACUCAGAAGCUGAGACAUUUGGUUAUUCCUGGUGCCCCAUCCCAAUUCAUCAGCUGUCCUGAGUUAUUCUAAAAAAGCCUCUCUUGCAAAAACAUUUCAUUUGCUUUUCCAGUAGCACGUUCCAGGGUGUUUGCAAGUCCCCAGUGCCAUAGUGCAGCUCCAUGCUGCUCCAGCACCGGGACUGCCAAGGGCAGGGCUGUGUCUGGCAUUAACAUUCCAAGAAUCUGCUCCAGGCGGGCAGGAAUAAAGUGGAGAGACAUGUUUGUAAUUGCUGGGGGGGAGCAGACACAGCCCAGCAGAGCAGUCUCACGGUCUGCUUGUUGCUGUCAAGCAAUUGGUCUUGAAUAAGGAGAACUGGAGAGCAAGCAGCAAAUUGGCUUUGCUCAGCGCUUUGGCCACAAUUAUUAAGGAGGGAACUGGCCAAAGGUAAAGUAUAAUUAAGUUGGCUUAUAGCAGAGCUCUGUCCAGGGCAGGAAUAUGUUUUGUGCUGUCACUCUAUAAUUAGCAACAUUUUGUUGUAGUGCUUUUCCUUUCCUUGAAAGAUCCCGAAAAGCUUCACAAAAUGCACUGGGUUAAAGUUGCCAGGUCCCCCUGGGGCCGGAGGCGCCAGGGCUGUGAUGCCCUGAUCCUGCACAGCAGAAUGGCCCUGUGGCUGGCAGGGGAACUGGAUCAGGCUUCUCCUCCAGAGCCACCAGCCGGCACACAGCGGGUCCCUCUGCCUGCGGUGACCUGGGAAAUGGGUGAUUUUUGCCCAUGAGAAGCUGGAGCACUGAGGGGUGAAGUGGUUUUCUGAGGUCACCAAGCAAGCCAUGGGUAAAGCCAGGAAUAGCAGCCAGCUGCUACACCUAUGGUUAUUUCUAUUUAUGCUCUUUGCUUCUCUUGCCCAUGGUUUACUGAAUGCAUUCCAAGAGUAACUUUGCCUGCCAAGCUUCCUCCCCUUUAAAUCCAGAAAUGGACAGAUAAGAUAGUAGAAGAAAUCAGUUUAACUGCUGGUAUGUGCACAAACAUACCUGAACCCUGGCCAAGUUAUCAGCCUUUUUUUUUUUAAAUGCUCUUUUGGGGCAGGAGAAACGCCUCCAGUCUCAAAGCGCCAAUGGCAGUUUGCUGGCAGGAUAUCAGAUUAUUUAUUUCCUUCGCCUGUGGUCAAAAGCAGAAAAAAAUUUUAAAAAGGCAAAAAAUAGAGGAGGCAAUCAUGUUAGACACAGCAAAACCCAGUCAAGUGACUCCAGUACAAAUCCCAUGAAGGCAAUGGGAGAAUUGUGGCUCUGGGAAUUAGAAGUUUAGACUGUAAAGCAAAAUAAAAAUGAAACCCCAAAUAAAUCCUGCAUUCUCCCCCAAUAAAUUUUCCUAGAAUGCCUUAUCUGCCUCUCAGGGAAGGCCUUGAGACUUUCUUCCAUCAACUUGAGCAGUAAAUCCGACUGGGCUCAGGGCCAGAGUAUCUGAAAAGCCCUAAACCAGGGGUAAAGAUUUGGCUCCUCAGUAUUCCUGGGUGAGCAGAGUCAGACUGCUGUGUCAACUGGUGUUCAAAGGCAGCAUAAAAAUGAAAAUUCAGGUAGCAGAAUGGAUAUGAAGUCAUAUUGUUAUACCAAAUGGAAGCCUGGCAGUGGCACGAGCCUGAUGCUGGAGCUGCUGCUGUAGCACAGAACCGAGCUCUCCCUCCUGCCAGUCCUGGCUCUGAUGGCUGGAAUUCCGCCGCCUUUCACAGAAAUUCACAUGUACUUUAAGAACUCAAAUAAACAAAAAACCCAAACAAAUCUCCUGACAGCAAUAAGAUCAAUAAAAACAUAGCCAAGUGCUUUGUUUUGCUUAGGAGAUGCAUCUUUGUGCAUCUCCACUUGGGUGUUGCCAAGUUUUGGAGAUCAGCAAAGGCUGACAUUGUUUAUUGCAAAUUAAAGACCCUCUGGAGACACUCGGUCUUGCUUCCCAGUGCAGCCCUGGUCUGGGGGAGGGAGGCCCUUGGACAGUAGCAUAGAAGAAAUCUUGUUCCAGUGUUGCUAACUAUAGCAUUAAUUUCAGAGUCAUAAAUAACUUCAGUACCAUGGUUACAGUGCUAGCCAAGUAUGAUAUCAUGUAGUUUAGGAUUAGGGAAAAAUAUCUUCCUUGAAGCUGUGGGUUCUAAAAUAAGCAACUUUUCCAGAAUGGGUUUUCUCCCAAAGCCUCCACAGAAACUCCAGCCUGGAGCUGUAAAUGAGAAGGAUUACUUUGGUAAAACGGACUGGGUGAGAUGUGUCAGCAGGUAAAACAGCUCAGAGGACAGAUUCUUCUGAGCUCCUCAGUGAAUGACAGCCUGGCACUCUCGGUUUUCUUAGAAAACAGCCCCUUCCGUGAAUGAGAGCAAGCAGAGCCUCUUCCAACCCCAGCUCUGUGCUAUGGAGACACGCAGAGGCACAGGGCCCUUUGGAAAUCAGAUGUCGCUAAUGAGCGUUAGAAAGAUGGAUUGAGAGAUGGGUGCCGACAGUUCCCAUGGCUGCACUGGCAACGUUAUAGUAACCGUGCAAGCGAACGGCAGCGAGCGGGCACCCGAGCAAAUAACUGUGAUAUUUGUAUUGCAGAAUUUACACACAAUUACCUGCACAUACAGUUCUGCAGGACCUUGGGAGCAACAGUGAAAGGCUGUUGUGGGCGAGAUCCUGAAUGCAAGUCACAUACAGCACAGCGCUAUAAUGGACUGCAACAAGAACCUGAAACGGGACAAGGGACUCAUGUGAGGAAGCAUAAUAAGAGGAAAUUUUAUAGAGAAACAGACUCUUUAAAUGCUGCAAAAUGGUCAUAGGUCAAUGAUACAGGAAAUUUGGCUCUAGCGCUCCUGGACACAUCGUGCUAGACCACACAACCCAAAGCAUGGAUCCCAUUCAAAAUUGCUCAAAAAGUUAUGACAUUAAGUCUGUAUUGGUAGGCUUUGUGCCAGAUUAGAUAUUGUCUUUCUUCCUGCUGCCGGCAUAAAGCCAGCAUAAACGCCGUAUUAUGUGCUCUGGCUAACUCAACAGAAACGUAAUUGUGUGCCCAGGCAUGAUCUGGACUGAAUUUAUCCUGUUAAAUGACCCAGUACUGCUCAAACCUGGUAUAAAGGACCACGGAAUUGUGGUGAAAACUUCCACGGUGAAUUUAAUGCCUUCUCUGAUGUAAGACAAGAGAAUUUUGCCACGUGCAAAUGCUUAUGGUAACUGUUGAAAUGUUUUCCCUCAAUUUAAUGCCAUUUCACAGCACAGACUACACAGAUUAGAGGGUGCCCCCAUGAAAGACAGUGGAGAAACUUGAACACACCGAGAAAAAAGAAAUGUACUUUUAUUUCCUGCUCUUCCUGGCUCUACAGUGGUUAGAAGAGAUCUCACUGACAUUAGUACUAAUUUAUGGUACCAAUAGUUUCUUUAGCCUGGCUGGUGAAUACAAGCAUUGCUUUCAGGCUCAGAAGAUACUCAGCUUGCUUGUGGCUUUGAUGCUGAAAUGUCUUUUAACCCUAGCAAACUCAAAUCUUUGUCAUUUCUCAUACUUUCUCUGUUCGUCACCUUGGUUGCAGGACAUCUGUUCACUGCCUAAUAAUGCAGGGCCAUGACCUGCGCUGGGAUUUCUACUACUGCACAGGGCAUCACCCAGUCGGAUUUGAUCAGGGUUCUUUAGAGCUUUGCUGUUUGGUUCAAAUCCUCUGUGGUCAGGGAAAAGAGUUGGGUCUGGUCUAGUCGCGAGCUUUUGCAGGUGGUUGAGCUGCAACGUGCCAGUCAUAGUCUGUAUUUGGGAUGGGGCCUGGACAACUCAAGGAGCCCUUUCUCCUGUAAGAGCCGUGUGUGCAUCUCUACUUGAAAGCUGCUGGAAGCUGCUCUCGAGAGUAGUUUAGAAAUAUGCAGACAAUUACAUGUCACUGCUGUUGUACUAAGACUGCCAACUGUGGGGUCAGGUUGUCCCCUUUGUUUUCCAGCAGGACGAUUUUUAGUUCAGGUUUCACUGGAGUGUAACGUGUUUGGAUGAGCCCAAAGGUCCCCUGGCCGGGCCCUGUGCAGCUUCAUGAGACAGAUGGGGCAUUACAGCCACGGUGCACUCAGUCCCUGCUGCUCCGUGAGAUCCAAAGUUCAAUUCAGUCGAUUAAAGAACGACGUUUUUGAGUUCUAAGAAAAGCCAUCUCUGGAUGGAAGCAGAAACCUGCAGCAGAAACACAAAUUACAGGAAGAUUGUAGAUGUUCGGGGAUCACAGGGAAAGUGGUAAGGAACAUUUAAUGAAGGAACGUUGUUUUUACAGCUGAUCUGGCACCUGACCCCAGCAGGGGGGAAGGACUGAGAGACAUCAGACUAUGGAUCCUUAAUGUAAAACAAUGUGUUUUCAAACUAAUCCCAAAUGCAAACUGAUUACUGUAUUUAAAAAGUUAAGCUAGGUGGAAGGGUAACCAAAGAGCCAGGAAUCCAUAUUUUAAAUAAAUCAAUGAGAGGAAAGGGUUGUUAGAAUUUGAUGAAUGAGACGGGUAAACUGAGGCAGGGUCAGGUAAUCUGCAGACCCUAUAGUACCAACUAGUGGGGAACUGGGGAGGGGAACUGCAGCCAGGAUUUGGGGGGCUUUUUGCCCUAUUCCCUGUGCCUGCCUUUAGGUAGAACAUCUGAUCUUGCAAAAUGGUUAUUAAAAUACGCUUUGCUGGGAAAGCCUGCCUGGGCCUAUUAUAUUGGCAAGGUAAUUGUUUCCUACAAAGUGAAAACCGAAAUGUAAGGGAGGAACCAGGCAGUCAGACACUGGUGGGGAAGCCGGGCCAGGCAGCGUUCCUGGAGUGGCGGUUCAGUCCCAGUCCAAACGCUGAGGUCACCGGGGCCGUGUCCCAGCUGCCGCAGCAGCGGACAGCGUGACUCAGAGCCACAAAAGGCUGUCCUGACCUUGUCAAGUAGAAAAAGUGCAAAGAUGCUCGAUACUGCCUUGCGCGUGCUGGUUACUGCUGGCCAAAAGCGAUGGAGAAGGCACAAGCCACUGGACACCGAAUCAAGAAAUCCCAAUGCAUCUGUUGUUCAGAAAGCACUGUAUAUGUUUCUAACCUUAUAGAAUAAUUUCUGUUGGAAGAGAUCCUCGGGAUCAUCGAGUCCAACAAUAACCUAACCUAACUGUAGCACUAAACCAUGUCCCUAAGAACCUUGUCUAAAUGUCUUUUAAACCCCUCCAGGGAUGGUGACUCCACCACUGUCCUGGUCAUCCUGUUCCAAUGCCCAACAGCCCUUCUACGUACAUUAACCGACUGAUCCUUAUAAGAGGCCUGGGAAGAUCCCAAGUAGCACAAUCCACAUUUUACUGAGGCCACAAAGUGUAAUUAGCUGACUAAAUAUUGCAAAUGGGGACUUGGGGAGUCCUCGCGCUCCUCCCUUGCUGCCGCUGAUGUGUCCCUGCAGCUGGGGAGCGCCGGCCAGAACCCGAUGGCGAGAAACCACAGCUCUCGAAGAAAGGCCAGCCGCACCAACCGGGGUCUGGCGUUCAGGAUGCUGUCACGACACAGAAGCCCAGACAGGCAGGGUGAGGUCAACAAGUUCUGAAAACAGCCUGUGUAAAAUCGAAACUACUGUUGAGUUUAGCUCGUUGCUACUGAAACAGGUUCCUUAGAGUCAUACCAGUAUUCGAGAAUAAAACCUGAA
This is a long non-coding RNA of Columba livia (rock pigeon), 8169 nucleotides long. RefSeq lists it as uncharacterized. Lineage: Eukaryota; Metazoa; Chordata; Aves; Columbiformes; Columbidae. The record is from RefSeq and is a predicted model, not a curated record. The transcript is spliced from 2 exons.